Pistacia vera is the source of this 832-nucleotide long non-coding RNA. RefSeq lists it as uncharacterized. The transcript is spliced from 3 exons. Lineage: Eukaryota; Viridiplantae; Streptophyta; Magnoliopsida; Sapindales; Anacardiaceae. The record is from RefSeq and is a predicted model, not a curated record.
UCUACUUUGCAGAAGCACACUAAAACUGGCGUGAUUGCAUGGGCAAUUCAUCCAUUGGACAACUGUUCUUAAAUACAGGAAUAAUUUUUAUCACGCAGCUACCGAUGAACCAACCCCUCUUCUAGGAUUAAGGUGGAUAAAGCAGGGGCCACAGUUCUAUUUCAAGAGGCAACAAGGGAAGUAACAAUGUUGGAGUUGUGGUGAACCCAGUCCGUCUCUCCAGUCUUGGAGAAUUUGGGACUCCUCAGUUUGUUGCUGAGAAGCUUAUUCAAGUCAAAAAGCGCAAGAGGUGGGUUCUGAGUCUCAGCAGCAGCGACAGUAGGAAGAUUGACAUGAGUAGUCAAAAGAAGAUUCCGGUGGAUCAAUAACCAGUACCUGAGAUCCCAUUUCCGGUGGUGGAGAUUUUGGCCAUGGCGUGACCCUUGCUGGAGAAAAUGGCAGCUAUCAUUCUCUCAGUUUUGGAGACUCCUUUUCAGAAACACCAUGACUGUUAACACUCCCAUCUUGGAAGCUAAUGCAAGAGUUGUGGGGUUAAACAGGUUUAGCAGUUUUAGUGUUAAGAGAGCUGGAUUUAGAGUGGAAGUGUGAAGCAUUUGAGUUCAUGUAUCCGGUUAAUUGAGUAAGAAAAGGAAAAUGACAGAUAGAAAGAGGACUAAAUGACAAGAUGGUCUUGAAAUAAGGUAAAGGUUUUGUCUCUGUGUUUUUUGAGCUGGAAUUUGGGGGCUCAAGAGGAAAUUAGAAAACGAUUUUGCUAGUAUGACUUUAUUCUUUUAGCAAUAUUCAUCUUACUGAAUUUAUUGGAUAUAAUUAAAACCUUUGAUUUCACGUUUUG